ACGGGUGAGUAAUACAUCGGAACGUGCCUAGUAGUGGGGGAUAACGCAGCGAAAGCUGUGCUAAUACCGCAUAAGAUCUAAGGAUGAAAGCGGGGGAUCGCAAGACCUCGUGCUAUUAGAGCGGCCGAUGGCAGAUUAGGUAGUUGGUGGGGUAAAGGCUUACCAAGCCUGCGAUCUGUAGCUGGUCUGAGAGGACGACCAGCCACACUGGGACUGAGACACGGCCCAGACUCCUACGGGAGGCAGCAGUGGGGAAUUUUGGACAAUGGGCGAAAGCCUGAUCCAGCAAUGCCGCGUGCAGGAUGAAGGCCCUCGGGUUGUAAACUGCUUUUGUACGGAACGAAAAGGCUUCUUCUAAUAAAGGAGGCUCAUGACGGUACCGUAAGAAUAAGCACCGGCUAACUACGUGCCAGCAGCCGCGGUAAUACGUAGGGUGCGAGCGUUAAUCGGAAUUACUGGGCGUAAAGCGUGCGCAGGCGGUUAUGUAAGACAGAGGUGAAAUCCCCGGGCUCAACCUGGGAACUGCCUUUGUGACUGCAUGGCUAGAGUGCGGCAGAGGGGGAUGGAAUUCCGCGUGUAGCAGUGA
This 586-nucleotide ribosomal RNA is filed under the name uncultured bacterium. Its description in RNAcentral is "bacterial SSU rRNA". It matches the Rfam family "Bacterial small subunit ribosomal RNA", at positions 102 to 684 of the family's 1533-position model. The record is from RNAcentral.